Molecule: transfer RNA, 74 nt
Filed under: Candidatus Kerfeldbacteria bacterium
Lineage: Bacteria; Candidatus Kerfeldiibacteriota
Description: tRNA-Ile
Rfam family: tRNA
About the family: Transfer RNA (tRNA) molecules are approximately 80 nucleotides in length. Their secondary structure includes four short double-helical elements and three loops (D, anti-codon, and T loops). Further hydrogen bonds mediate the characteristic L-shaped molecular structure. tRNAs have two regions of fundamental functional importance: the anti-codon, which is responsible for specific mRNA codon recognition, and the 3' end, to which the tRNAs corresponding amino acid is attached (by aminoacyl-tRNA synthetases). tRNAs cope with the degeneracy of the genetic code in two manners: having more than one tRNA (with a specific anti-codon) for a particular amino acid; and 'wobble' base-pairing, i.e. permitting non-standard base-pairing at the 3rd anti-codon position.
Source: RNAcentral
GGGCGCUUAGCUCAGGUGGUUAGAGCAGCGAGCUUAUAUCUCGCCGGUCGAGGGUUCAACUCCCCCAGCGCCCA